AGAGUUUGAUCCUGGCUCAGGACGAACGCUGGCGGCACGCUUAACACAUGCAAGUCGAACGAGAGAAGAGGAGCUUGCUUUUCUGAUCUAGUGGCGGACGGGUGAGUAACACGUGAGCAAUCUGCCUUUCAGAGGGGGAUACCGAUUGGAAACGAUCGUUAAUACCGCAUAACAUAAUUGAACCGCAUGAUUUGAUUAUCAAAGAUUUAUCGCUGAAAGAUGAGCUCGCGUCUGAUUAGCUAGUUGGUAAGGUAACGGCUUACCAAGGCGACGAUCAGUAGCCGGACUGAGAGGUUGAUCGGCCACAUUGGGACUGAGACACGCCCCAGACUCCUACGGGAGGCAGCAGUGGGGAAUAUUGCACAAUGGAGGAAACCCUGAUGCAGCGAUGCCGCGUGAGGGAAGAAGGUUUUAGGAUUGUAAACCUCUGUCCUCAGGGACGAAAAAAGACGGUACCUGAGGAGGAAGCUCCGGCUAACUACGUGCCAGCAGCCGCGGUAAUACGUAGGGAGCGAGCGUUGUCCGGAAUUACUGGGUGUAAAGGGAGCGUAGGCGGGAUCGCAAGUCAGAUGUGAAAACUAUGGGCUUAACCCAUAAACUGCAUUUGAAACUGUGGUUCUUGAGUGAAGUAGAGGUAAGCGGAAUUCCUAGUGUAGCGGUGAAAUGCGUAGAUAUUAGGAGGAACAUCAGUGGCGAAGGCGGCUUACUGGGCUUUAACUGACGCUGAGGCUCGAAAGCGUGGGGAGCAAACAGGAUUAGAUACCCUGGUAGUCCACGCCGUAAACGAUGAUUACUAGGUGUGGGGGGACUGACCCCUUCCGUGCCGCAGCAAACGCAAUAAGUAAUCCACCUGGGGAGUACGACCGCAAGGUUGAAACUCAAAGGAAUUGACGGGGGCCCGCACAAGCAGUGGAGUAUGUGGAUUAAUUCGAAGCAACGCGAAGAACCUUACCAGGUCUUGACAUCGUAUGCAUAGCUCAGAGAUGAGUGAAAUCUCUUCGGAGACAUAUAGACAGGUGGUGCAUGGUUGUCGUCAGCUCGUGUCGUGAGAUGUUGGGUUAAGUCCCGCAACGAGCGCAACCCUUACUGUUAGUUGCUACGCAAGAGAACUCUAGCAGGACUGCCGUUGACAAAACGGAGGAAGGUGGGGAUGACGUCAAAUCAUCAUGCCCCUUAUGACCUGGGCCUCACACGUACUACAAUGGCUGUCAACAGAGGGAAGCAAAGCCGCGAGGUGGAGCGAACCCCUAAAAGCAGUCUUAGUUCGGAUUGUAGGCUGCAACCCGCCUACAUGAAGUCGGAAUUGCUAGUAAUCGCAGAUCAGCAUGCUGCGGUGAAUACGUUCCCGGGCCUUGUACACACCGCCCGUCACGCCAUGGGAGUCGGUAACACCCGAAGCCUGUAGUCUAACCGCAAGGAGGACGCAGUCGAAGGGGGGAUUGAUGACUGGGGUGAAGUCGUAACAAGGUA
This 1470-nucleotide ribosomal RNA is filed under the name metagenome. RNAcentral's name for it is "bacterial SSU rRNA". It matches the Rfam family "Bacterial small subunit ribosomal RNA". The record is from RNAcentral.